RNAcentral lists this long non-coding RNA (1982 nucleotides) under Vitis vinifera (wine grape). RNAcentral's name for it is "long non-coding RNA (VVIN_LNC004456)". The record is from RNAcentral. Lineage: Eukaryota; Viridiplantae; Streptophyta; Magnoliopsida; Vitales; Vitaceae.
CUCUAUUAUAUUUCAUUUUUCUUCUUUUCAUUUUCCCAAAAUGGCUAUUUAUAAAAGGAAGAAGAGAGUCGUAGUGGUUGUCAAUUGGAGAAGCAAUUGGAAUAUCUCAUCACUUAACGGUUUCAAAACCCCCCUCCAUAUAUUCUCAAAUAUUUGAUCUACCUACUUCUGAUCAGCAACAUCGUUGGCUCACUUGGGACAUGGCUUGAGAAGAUUUCAUUGGUGAGUAACCAUCAUUUUUCAUCUUUGGGGACAUGUAUGAUUAGUACUAGGAUGUCAUGACCACUCACUUCCAAGGGCAAUUUGAUCUGCUUCAGGGCAAACUUGAGGACGUCUCCGUUUGUAUCCAAACCAAGCAUGUCUUCCCGCCUCCUCAGCCUUGAGCCAUAAUCUUUUCCCCCUUAUUUUGAUGUUGCCAAAGGGGUAGAUACAUUUAUAAGCAUAUCUAGGUAUAUAUUUUGUAUGUGCUUAUCAUAGUUUAGACAUGUUUAGCUUACUUUUGGAUAUUGUUAUUGGCAUCUUUUGAUUACUUAUGAUCAUUAUCUUUUUGGAUCCUGUUUUGGACAUGGCACAUUUAUGGAUUGGAUGCCAUAUUGAUAGAUAUUUUGGUUUACAUAUGCAUACUUCAUUUUGAUUUUACAAUGGCUAUUAUUUAUUGCUUUGUGCUUAAUUAGGUCAUUAUCAAUUUUCAAUUAAUUACUUUCAUUAUUGAUCACGCAUGUAAUUAAAGGAAGUUUCUUCCCUAGAUAGCCAGGUUUGUAAUCAUAAAAAUGGGGGGAGAUUGUUAGCUCAAAGUUUCUCGUAAUCGAGUUUUAACGAUAACACAACAGGUUUAAUCAUACUAAUGAUUCAAUCAAUAUUAAUUUUUUCAUGUUUUCAAUAAAUUAAAGGUAAUUCAAGUUAAUUCUAUGGAUGAUCAAAUUUAAUAAAGACUUAAACACUAUCAACCAAUAUAAGAUUGUUCUUGUUGAUGCACUUGAGUCAAUUAAAAUUAUUCAUGCACUUAACAAUUUAAAAUGAUCCUCUUAUAGUUUUAAAUAAAAUAUGUUUUUAAAAUUGAAUGAUUUCAUGUUUUUUGAUAAACCCUAACCUAAUUUUUUUUAUAAAAAAAAACAUAUUUAAAGGGUUUAUAAGUUGAUUCAUUCAAGAUUAAUUUUUUCAUGUUUUCAAUAAAUUAAAGGUAAUUCAAGUUAAUUCUAUGGAUGAUCAAAUUUAAUAAAGACUUAGACACUAUCAACCAAUAUAAGAUUAUUCUUGUUGAUGCACUUGAGUCAAUUAAAAUUAUUCGUGCACUUAACAAUUUAAAAUGAUCCUCUUAUAUAUAGUUUUAAAUUAAAUAUGUUUUUAAAAUUGAAUGAUUUCAUGUUUUUUGAUAAACCCUAACCUAAUUUUUUUUUUUUUUAAAAAAAACAUAUUUAAAGGGUUUAUAAGUUGAUUUGGAAGCCUUCUUAGGGUUCCUGAUUUUGAUAUGAUCUCAAAUCUACAAAAAUGCAUUAAUAGGUUGAGGAGUAGGGAAUCGAUCAAGCUGCCCCUUUGUUCACCUAGAGGUCCAGAAGUUGGUUUUAAAUGGUUAGAGCAAGACCUUGAUUGAUCAAAGAUUGGUUGAAUUGGUUGCUCAAUCCGGGUUGCUUAAUUUUGUUGAACUCUUAGUCCCCACCGACUAGUCAAUAUUUGGUCAAAUUGGUUGAUCAAUUAGUUGAACUCAAGUUGUGAUUUUUAAGAGCAUAUAUGUACAAGAGACCCUUAGUAUUUAAUUGUUUACCCUUCUAAAAACUCUUUCAAAGCUCUCAAGUGCAUUCAUUCUUUCACUUGCAAAGUAUUGUGCACCAGACAAAUUAAUUAAUUUGUUUCACUAGGAUUGAGUGUUCUUCAUUCUUACUUCUAAAUUUGCUAGAUUAUUGUUCGAGUGAAUUUAGUCACUUGAGGUGAUUUGUGAAGGUCCAUUCUAAUCUUGAAAUUUAAUUGUAGAUAUUGAAGUCUCG